RNAcentral lists this unclassified non-coding RNA (400 nucleotides) under uncultured fungus. Its description in RNAcentral is "sequence contains ITS1". The stretch from base 1 to 106 matches the Rfam family "5.8S ribosomal RNA", at positions 50 to 154 of the family's 154-position model. Lineage: Eukaryota; Fungi. The record is from RNAcentral.
GAAAUGCGAUAAGUAAUGUGAAUUGCAGAAUUCCGUGAAUCAUUAAAUCUUUGAACGCACAUUGCGCUUGUCUGGUAACCCAGCGAGCAUGUCUGUUUGAGAAUCAGUUUAACUUAUCACUCUAAAUUUUAUCAGUAAUGAAAUAAUUUAGGAUGGAAUUGGGACUUUUCUUAACCUAUGGUUUAGAAGGACCUUAAAUUAAACUUGGCCUAAAAUCAAAAGUUUUGUUACUAUCCAAAAGGCAUGACCCAAGAUUAAGACUUUUAUUAGUCCUAAUUUGAUUGCUUACUAGGAUCUUAACUAAUACGGACUUAGAUUAAAGAUCAACCCCAAAAAUACGAAAUUUUUAGUUUGCACAAUUCUUUAAAUUUCAAGACUUUGAUCUCAAAUCAGACAAGAC